UUUUUCACUGACCCGCGGCUUUCGGUCUACGUUCAUUCAGUUGGCCAAUGAAAUUGGCUUAUGUAAAAUCACUGCCAUUAACGUAGUGACAUAAAAAUCAACGGAAGAUAAGUGUUCCCAGAUCGACUUGCCAUCAUCGUCAGCUGUAACUUUUUUUCCGCAGUCUGUGAGCUGGAUGUAAUUUCAUAUUCUUUCUGCAUUCCGAAACCUUGAAUCACAUUUCUUGCUAUUAAUUGCACACAUUUUUUGCGAUUUUCCUUCUUGCCACUCGAAGGCGCCGCUGAGUGGCUGCCGUUGAGCGCCGAGCUGGGUCAGAUUUAAUAGCUACAACACAUCCAGCAAAUAGCAGCCGCAGCAAAAACGACUGGCUGACUACCUUUUACUGGCACGCACUGCAUUCGAGAUGACGGCCUGUUUUAAAUGCCAGCCAGUUGAGUGACUAU
This 443-nucleotide long non-coding RNA is filed under the name Drosophila melanogaster (fruit fly). Its description in RNAcentral is "long non-coding RNA:CR44929 (Dmel_CR44929)". The record is from RNAcentral. Lineage: Eukaryota; Metazoa; Arthropoda; Insecta; Diptera; Drosophilidae.